AGCUUUAUAGUUGAUGUACAAUGUUUAACUGCAGAUUAAAAGGAGUUUUUUACUAGAGUUU
This 61-nucleotide transfer RNA is filed under the name Nemertopsis tetraclitophila. RNAcentral describes it as "tRNA-Cys". Lineage: Eukaryota; Metazoa; Nemertea; Enopla; Monostilifera; Emplectonematidae. The record is from RNAcentral.